This 172-nucleotide ribosomal RNA is filed under the name Parapercis tetracantha. Its description in RNAcentral is "partial 12S rRNA". Lineage: Eukaryota; Metazoa; Chordata; Actinopteri; Uranoscopiformes; Pinguipedidae. The record is from RNAcentral.
CACCGCGGUUAGACGUGAGGCCCAAGCAGAUGAGCUUACGGCGUAAAGUGUGGCCAAGGAACCUAUUUAAAUUAAAGCUAAACGCCCUCAAUGCUGUAAUACGUUGUCGAGGUCAAAGAAGGACAACCACGAAAGUAACUUUAUUUUUUCCCCACCCACUAAAGCUCUGGCA